GUGGUCGUAGAUCAAUGGUAGAUCCCCAGAUUGUGAUUCUGGUCGUUGCGGGUUCGAGUCCCGUCGGCCACCCCA
This 75-nucleotide transfer RNA is filed under the name Verrucomicrobium sp. RNAcentral's name for it is "tRNA-His". It matches the Rfam family "tRNA". Rfam says of the family: Transfer RNA (tRNA) molecules are approximately 80 nucleotides in length. Their secondary structure includes four short double-helical elements and three loops (D, anti-codon, and T loops). Lineage: Bacteria; Pseudomonadati; Verrucomicrobiota; Verrucomicrobiia; Verrucomicrobiales; Verrucomicrobiaceae. RNAcentral also lists the same sequence under 3 other names. The record is from RNAcentral.